UUAAAAAAGAUUCACCAAUAGAGAUCUACUCUUUCACUUUCAUUGGAGUAGAAGAGGCAUCGGUUCCUUCAUUCAAAUUUGCAUUAAUUUCUUGCAAAUUAGCAUAAACAGUUUUAUGUUUUUUGUCACUCACAAUUAUGUCGGUUUCCAUGCAAUCAGCUUUUGAAUGAUUGGUGGGAUUAAUUGCCGGCUCUGUAUUGGUGGAGAGGAGGAUCCUUUAAUUGCGGAAAGAGAAUUUAAUGGUUUUUAAAAACAGAAGUCAUCAAUUCCAUCCGUUUUUGUACGUCCACAAUGAUUGAGCCAUCAUUAAUUGGAUUAAUGAUGGAAUUAAUUCCUGUUCUGAAACCGUCAUUGUGUUCCUUGGUCGACGUCCGACAUGGCUUCAUGCUUGCUCCGUCUUCACGUAGCCAACUUGAACUACCACCUUGCAUUGACAUUCUUGUUACAGCACGAGGAUCACCACAGUGAAUAGAGUUUUCUUGAUGAUUGAGGUUAGCAUUACGACAAAGCAAGAGGCAGAUGUUAUGAUCGUUAGUAGGACUCAAGGUACGUUUAACCUGGCUGGAGGAGUUGUAUCACAAAUACAUUGCUUCUAGGUAAUUUGUAUGGGUUGUCAUGGCUUAUAUAUCUUCAUUAAAGCUAGUUAUCACCUUUGUUUCACUCA
Molecule: long non-coding RNA, 664 nt
Organism: Glycine soja
Lineage: Eukaryota; Viridiplantae; Streptophyta; Magnoliopsida; Fabales; Fabaceae
Exons: 2
Source: RefSeq, a predicted model, not a curated record